Molecule: long non-coding RNA, 1952 nt
Organism: Cyprinus carpio carpio
Lineage: Eukaryota; Metazoa; Chordata; Actinopteri; Cypriniformes; Cyprinidae
Source: Ensembl
AUGCAACAUUUCCAUGAGGAAGGAGACCUCAGGGGAAGGAGAGCUCUGGAACUGACUCUCCAUGCGCUGGCCACCAGAUUCCCUCUAGACUGCAGCUCCUCUCUGGCCAGUGUUUCGUGUGGAUGGGGUAAGGUCAGCAUUGCAUGGAAGAUUACAGUAUGUGACAGGAACAGAUGCUGCAGUGAAGAGCAGCCCAUGGCCACAGCUGAACACAGAGCGGCCGGAUUUACUGGAAACCCUCAAACAACCAACGAGCUGUGUCCUUUCAGACAACACACACACACACACACACACACACACACACACACACACACACACACACACACACACACACACACACACACACACACACACACACACACAGACAGACAAGAUAUGAACUGACUGUGAAUCUAUGCAAAAGCUUCAUUGCAUUAUAUAUUAAUGUUAAGUAAUGUCAAGUGGUGUCAAGUAAUUUCAGAAGUGGGGCAAAUUAUAAUUUUUUUUUUAAUAAAAAGAUUAUGAGCAUUGUACAAACACAGUGACCAUUUUUUCUUUGGAAUAGCAAAGUAAAAUGUGUAUUAAAGGGAUUGUUCACCCAAAAAUGCAAAUUUGCUGAAAAAUGUCAGGUCAAAAUGUUACUCUGGAGAAAUUUGGCAUUACAUCACUUGCUCACCAAUGGAUCCUCUGCAGUGAAUGGGUGCCGUCAGAAUGACAGUCCAAACAGCUGAUAAAAACAUCACAAUAAUCCACAAGUAAUCGCCACAACAGUCAAUCAGUUAAUAUCUUAAAGUUAAAGUAAAAAGCUGUGUGUUUGUAAAAAAGCCAUCAUUAAGAUGUUUUAACUUCAAAAUGUUGCUUUUGGCCAAAGCAUUAGGACAUAAUCCAUUAUAGUGCUUCCUCUAGUGAAAAAAAACAUCCAGUGUUGUCCAUUCACAUCAAAAUCCAUUUACAUAUUUAUUUUUGGACUAUUUUUGCUUGUAAACAGUGCUUGAUUUGUGCAUACUUCUCUCCCGAUUCAGGCCAGAUGGAUUUUUCACUGAAGAACGCAACAUUAUGGACUCAUAUUUUAGCCGGAAGCAACAGUCUUUAUGAUGAUUAAAAACCACACCAGCUUAUUGGUGGAGAGGAGACAGGGUGAUGAAGCCAAUCAGUAGAUAUGGGAAUUGUUAGGAGGCCAUGAUGGUCAGAUGCCAAUGGGCAAAUUUGGCGAGGAUGCCAAGGUCACGCCUCCACUCUUUUCAAAAGACAUCCUGGGAUUUUUAAUGACCACAGACAGUCAGGACCUCGGUUUAACGUCUCAUCUGAAGGACGGUGCUUUUUGAAAGUAUAUUGUCCCCGUCACUAUACUGGGGCAUUAGGACUACAGGACCCACACAGACCACAGGGUGAGCACCCACUUCUGGCCUCACUAACACCUCUUCCAGCAGCAACCUAGUUUUCGCAAGAGGUCUCCCAUCCAGGUACUGACCAGGCUCAACCCUGCUUAGCUUCAGUGGGCAACCAGUCUUGGGCUGCAGGGUGAUAUGGCUACAAAUCAACAAUCAACAACUCCUGACUAAUGAAGUCUUGGAGGUCAUAUGCGAGGGUGCGGAGGGCUGUGGAGGUUAAAGCGUAGAAUGAGAAAAUCAAAGCCAGCUGCAGUACAUAAUGAACAUGAGCACUUGUUUGCAUCAUGAGCCUUAAAAAUCCCUUCGUGAUUGGCAGACUGUCUCAGAGACCAAGAAAGCUGUUUAGCGCUGCCUUGCCCAGUAAUCCUGUCACCUCAACCCUGUCACCUUUUAAUAAUAAAUUGAUUACUGUUCUGAAUUGCUGUUGUGCAUCAAUAUAAUUUACCAAAAAUGCACGUGGCCACUCUAUCUGAAGUCUAAUGUGAAACUGUGCAUUAAAAUGCUUGAAUUGAAAGCUAAAGGCUGACGCAGCAGAUCUAUAUUAUGAAGCAUAUACAUGUGCUGCGUCGGUCAGUCCUGGCA